UGGGCAGGAAUUUUUCCAAUUCGAUCUUGGAUUGAAUUAAAACAUUUCCUACAUUAUAAAUAGUCUUUAAACAUGUUUUUGAAGGGGAAUUCAAUUUGAGGCAAAGAACGCUUAGGAGUGAGUGAAUUUUAGUACUUAUUAUGUUUUCACAUACUUUAUGCGUAGCUAAUUUUCUAUUUAAGAUUUUGAUGAAACCUUUUGUUGGAUGAG
RNAcentral lists this long non-coding RNA (210 nucleotides) under Solanum tuberosum (potato). RNAcentral describes it as "long non-coding RNA (STUB_LNC011802)". Lineage: Eukaryota; Viridiplantae; Streptophyta; Magnoliopsida; Solanales; Solanaceae. The record is from RNAcentral.